This 743-nucleotide ribosomal RNA is filed under the name bacterium. Its description in RNAcentral is "bacterial SSU rRNA". It matches the Rfam family "Bacterial small subunit ribosomal RNA", at positions 118 to 872 of the family's 1533-position model. The record is from RNAcentral.
UGAGUAACCUGCCCUUAACUCUGGGAUAAGCCUGGGAAACUGGGUCUAAUACCGGAUAUGACUCCUCAUCGCAUGGUGGGGGGUGGAAAGCUUUUUGUGGUUUUGGAUGGACUCGCGGCCUAUCAGCUUGUUGGUGAGGUAAUGGCUUACCAAGGCGACGACGGGUAGCCGGCCUGAGAGGGUGACCGGCCACACUGGGACUGAGACACGGCCCAGACUCCUACGGGAGGCAGCAGUGGGGAAUAUUGCACAAUGGGCGCAAGCCUGAUGCAGCGACGCCGCGUGAGGGAUGACGGCCUUCGGGUUGUAAACCUCUUUCAGUAGGGAAGAAGCGAAAGUGACGGUACCUGCAGAAGAAGCGCCGGCUAACUACGUGCCAGCAGCCGCGGUAAUACGUAGGGCGCAAGCGUUAUCCGGAAUUAUUGGGCGUAAAGAGCUCGUAGGCGGUUUGUCGCGUCUGCCGUGAAAGUCCGGGGCUCAACUCCGGAUCUGCGGUGGGUACGGGCAGACUAGAGUGAUGUAGGGGAGACUGGAAUUCCUGGUGUAGCGGUGAAAUGCGCAGAUAUCAGGAGGAACACCGAUGGCGAAGGCAGGUCUCUGGGCAUUAACUGACGCUGAGGAGCGAAAGCAUGGGGAGCGAACAGGAUUAGAUACCCUGGUAGUCCAUGCCGUAAACGUUGGGCACUAGGUGUGGGGGACAUUCCACGUUUUCCGCGCCGUAGCUAACGCAUUAAGUGCCCCGC